RNAcentral lists this ribosomal RNA (216 nucleotides) under Glomeromycotina sp. Its description in RNAcentral is "partial small subunit ribosomal RNA". The stretch from base 40 to 216 matches the Rfam family "Eukaryotic small subunit ribosomal RNA", at positions 686 to 864 of the family's 1831-position model. Lineage: Eukaryota; Fungi; Glomeromycota. The record is from RNAcentral.
GGCUCAGUAGGUUGGUCGUGCCACCGGUACGUACUGGUCUCACUGAUUCCUCCUUCCUGAAGAACCGUAAUGCCAUUAAUUUGGUGUUGCGGGGAAACAGGACUGUUACUUUGAAAAAAUUAGAGUGUUUAAAGCAAGCUAACGCUUGAAUACAUUAGCAUGGAAUAAUGAAUUAGGACGAUCGAUCCUAUUUUGUUGGUUUCUAGGAUUGACGUA